RNAcentral lists this ribosomal RNA (437 nucleotides) under uncultured bacterium. RNAcentral's name for it is "bacterial SSU rRNA". It matches the Rfam family "Bacterial small subunit ribosomal RNA", at positions 355 to 786 of the family's 1533-position model. The record is from RNAcentral.
UGAGGAAUAUUGGUCAAUGGCCGAGAGGCUGAACCAGCCAAGUCGCGUGAGGGAUGAAGGUUCUAUGGAUCGUAAACCUCUUUUAUAAGGAAGUAAAGAUGACCACGUGUGGGUUUUUGGUUAUGUACCUUAUGAAUAAGGAUGCGGCUAACUCCGUGCCAGCAGCCGCGGUAAUACGGAGGAUCCGAGCGUUAUCCGGAUUUAUUGGGUUUAAAGGGUGCGUAGGCGGCCUUUUAAGUCAGCGGUGAAAGUCUGUGGCUCAACCAUAGAAUUGCCGUUGAAACUGGGAGGCUUGAGUAUGUUUGAGGCAGGCGGAAUGCGUGGUGUAGCGGUGAAAUGCUUAGAUAUCACGCAGAACCCCGAUUGCGAAGGCAGCCUGCCAAGCCAUUACUGACGCUGAUGCACGAAAGCGUGGGGAUCAAACAGGAUUAGAUACC